CGGUGGCGAGGGAUGUGGCUGGUGGCACUCAGUGAGCUGCUUGUCUCUGAUAAGAGGUUAUCAAGAUGAAAGGGGGAGGCCGGGAAUUACGGGCCUAACACUGUCACCCAGCAGACUCAGAGGAACACUGUCACCCAGCAGACACAGAGGAACACUGUCACCCAGCAGACACAGAGGAAUAUACACUUUCUGUGCCAGAAAGAAAUCUCCUGGGGAAUCUACACAGUUAUAACGAACAGCCUCAAUUAAUCCUGGCAUGGAAUCUACAAAGUUUCGAAAGCAUUCCACAGGGAUCCUGGCCCAUGGUGACUCCAAUGCUUCCCACAGUUGUGUCAAGUUGGCUGGAUGUCCUUUGGGUGCUGGACCAUUCUUGAUACACACUGGAAACUGUUGAGCUUGAAAAACCCAGCAGCGUUGCAGUUCUUGACACACUCAAACCAGUGCAUCUGGCACCUACUAACAUACCCCGUUCAAAGGCACUUAAAUCUUUUGUCUUGCCCAUUCACCCUCUGAAUGGCACACAUACACAAUCCAUGUGGGGGGCUAGGGUCAGUUUGUUAUAUCUGGAGUACUUCUCCUGUCCUAUUCGGUGUCCUGUGUGAAUCUAAGUGUGCGUUCUCUAAUUCUCUCAUUCUCUCUUUCUUUCUCACUCUCGGAGGACCUGAGCCCUAGGACCAUGCCCCAGGACUACCUGACAUGAUGACUCCUUGCUGUCCCCAGUCCACCUGGCCAUGCUGCUGCUCCAGUUUCAACUGACCUGAGCCCUAGGACCAUGCCCCAGGACUACCUGACAUGAUGACUCCUUGCUGUCCCCAGUCCACCUGGCCAUGCUGCUGCUCCAGACCUGAGCCCUAGGACCGUGCCCCAGGAAUACCUGACAUGAUGACUCCUUGCUGUCCCCAGUCCACCUGACUGUGCUGCUGCUCCAGUUUCAACUGUUCUGCCUUAUUAUUAUUCGACCAUGCUGGUCAUUUAUGAACAUUUGAACAUCUUGGCCAUGUUCUGUUAUAAUCUCCACCUGGCACAGCCAGAAUAGGACUGGCCACCCCACAUAGCCUGGUUCCUCUCUAGGUUUCUUCCUAGGUUUUGGCCUUUCUAGGGAGUUUUUCCUAGCCACCGUGCUUCUACACCUGCAUUACUUGCUGUUUGGGGUUUUAGGCUGGGUUUCUGUACAGCACUUUGAGAUAUCAGCUGAUGUACGAAGGGCUAUAUAAAUACAUUUGAUUUGAUUUGAUGUACGAAUUGUCUCAAGGCUUAAAAGUCCUUCUUUAACCUGUCUCCUCCCCUUCAUCUACACUAAUUGAAAUGGUGACAUCAAUAAGGGAUCAUAGCGUUCACCUAGAUUCACCUGGUCAGUCUAUGUCAUGGAAAGAGCAGAUAUUUCUAACUCAUGACGUAAUUGGACAAACCUAAACCUCAUUUGAAAAUAAUACUCAUCGGCAAUUCUGGGUAAGCCGGAAAAAUGAUAUUAGGUAAUACUGGCCAAUGUUAUUACUUUUCAUUAUUUAUAGGUAUUUCCAAGAUGGCGUAGCAGUCGGGCGUCUGUUUUGUUUGUCUUGUCCCGUCCCCUCCCGUGUAUAUAUAAUUUUCUUUGUAUAUAUUUCGUAAAUAUCUUUUAGAUUUUUAAUCUCAAUUUCCAUCUAUGGACUGACCAUACUCUCCUGCAACCCGCCUCACCCAAUAUGGUACGGAUCUGCUAUUUUUUUAUACUUUAGAACUGGAACCCCCAUCAGAAGCUAGCCAACUAACUAGCUACUAGCUAGUAGUCAGUUAGCCACUGCUAGCGGUCAUCACUGUUAUCAGCCAGCCGCAGCCCGGUCAAUUCCUGCCAGUCUGCAUAACGCGAAAUCAACCCAGAGCAUAUUGGACUCCUUUUUCUCCACCAAAUCUCCGGAUUACUACCGCAAGCUGGAUCAUCGCAGCUAGCUUGCUGCUAUCCGAGUGGCUAUUCCUGGCUAAAGUCUCUGUCCCGAAGCAAGCAUCAGUUAGCUGGAGCUAGCCUCGAGCUAGACCCAUCUCCCGGCUAGCCGAAGAGAUCCAUCAGACAAUUCCUGGGUUUCAAUACCUCUUUUGCCAAUUGGCCUGGACCAUUAGCUGCCAACACGGAGCCCCGCAGAUCCAUCACGACUGGUCUGCCGACGUAAUCCGUCCAAGGAGGUUACAACAAGCUCUUCCGUUGCGACGUCCCCCUGAGGCCCAACUGCUAGCCUGCUAUCCCGGCCUGAUAGCUGUCUAAAUUGCCGUGUCUCCAGCUCGCCUAGCUACUCACUGGACCCAAUGAUCACUCGGCUACAAAUGCCUCUCCCUAAUGUCAAUAUGCCUUGUCUAUUGCUGUUUGGUUAGGGAUUUUUGUCUGAUUUCACUGUAGAACCACCAGCCCUGUUCAAUAUGCCUUAGCUAGCCCUUUUGUUCCACCCCCCACACAUGCGGUGACCUCAUCUGGCUUAAAUGGUGCCUCUAGAGACCAAACCUCUCUCAUCAUCACUCAAUGUUUAGGUUUACCUCCACUGCACUUACAUCCUACAAUAUCCUUGUCUGUACAAUAUGCCUUGAAUAUAUUCUUCCACACCCAGAAAUCUGCUCCUUUAACUCUCGGUUCCCAACGCACUAGAUGACCCGUUCUUAUAGCCUUUAGCCGUACUCUUAUCCUACUCCUCCUCUGUUCCGAUGGUGAUGUAGAGGUUAACCCAGGCCCUGCAGCCCCCAGCAUCACUCCCAUUCCUCAGAUGCUCUCAUUUGUUGACUUCUGUAACCGUAAAAGCCUUGGUUUCAUGCAUGUUAACAGCCUCCUCCCUGAGUUUGUUUUAUUCACUGCUUUAGCAAACUCUGCCAACCCAGAUGUCCUAGCCAUGUCUGAAUCCUGUCUCAGGAAGGCCACCAAAUAUCCUGAAAUUUCCAUCCCUAACUAUAGCAUUUUCCAACAAGAUAGAACUGCCAAAGGGGCGGAGUUGCAAUUCACUGCAGAGAUAGCCUGCAAAGUUCUGUCAAACUAUCCAGGUCUGUGCCCAAACAAUUAGAGCUUCUACUUUUAAAAAUCCACCUUUCCAGAAACAAGUCUCUCACCAUUGCCAGUUGUUAUAGACCCCCUUCAGCCCCCAGCUGUGCCCUGGAGACACUAUAUGUGAAUUGAUCGCCCCCAUCUAUCAUCAGAGCUCACAAUGUUUGGUUACCUAACUGGGACAUGCUUAACACCCUGGCUGUCCUACAAUCUAAGCUAGAUGCCCUCAAUCUCAAACAAAUUCUAAACUCUAAAUCCGUAACCAUGGGCACCCUCUUAGAUAUCAUCCUGACCAACUUUCCCUCCAAAUACACCUCUGCUGUCUUACACCCCCCCGCUUCUCCUUCACCCAAAUCCAGACAGCUGAUGUUCUGAAAGAGCUGCAAAAUCUGGAUCCCUACAAAUCAGCCGGGCUAGACAAUCUGGACCCUCCCUUUCUAAAAUUAUCCACCGAAAUUGUUGCAUCCCCUAGUACUAGCCUGUUCAACCUCUUUCGUAUCGUCUGUGGUCCCCAAAGAUUGGAACGCUGCCAUGGUCAUCCCCCUCUUCAAAGGGGGUGACACUCUAGACCCAAACUGUUAUAGACCUAUAUUCAUCCUACCCUGUCUUUCUAAGGUCUUCGAAAGCCAAGUUAACAAACAGAUCACCCAACAUUUCGAAUCCCACCGUACCUUCUCCGCUAUGCAAUCUGGUUUAGGAGCUGGUCAUGGGUGCACCUCAGCCACGCUCAAGGUCCUAAACGACAUCAUAACAGCCAUCGAUAAGAGACAUUACUGUGCAGCCGUAUUCAUCGACCUGGCCAAGGCUUUCGACUCUGUCAAUCACAACAUUCUUAUUGGCAGACUCGACAGCCUUGGUUUUUCAAAUGAUUGCCCCGCCUGGUUUACCAACUACUUCUCUGAUAGAGUCCAGUGUGUCAAAUCGGAGGGCCUGUUGUCCGGAUCUCUGGCUGUCUCUAUGGGGGUGCCACAGGGUUCAAUCCUUGGGCCGACUCUCUUCUCUGUACACAUCAAUGAUGUUGCUCUUGCUGCUGGUGAGUCUCUGAUCCACCUCUACGCAGACGACACCAUUCUGUAUACUUCUGGCCCCUCUUUGGACACUGUGUUAACUAACCUCCAGACGAGCUUCAAUGCCAUACAACUCUCCUUCCGUGGCCUCCAACUGCUCUUAAACGCAGGGGAAACUAAAUGCAUGCUAUUCAACCGAUCACUGCCCGCACCUGCUCACCUGUCCAGCAUCGUUACUCUGGACGGCUCUGACUUAGAAUACGUGGACAACUACAAAUACCUAGGUGUCUAGUUAGACUGUAAACUCUCCUUCCAGACUCACAUUAAGCAUCUCUAAUCCAAAAUUAAAUCUAGAAUUGGCUUCCUAUAUCGCAACAAAGCAUCCUUCACUCAUGCUGCCAAACAUACCCUCAUAAAACUGACCAUCCUACCGAUCCUCGACUUCGGUGAUGUCAUCUAUAAAAUAGCCUCCAACACUCUACUCAACAAACUGGAUGCAGUCUAUCACAGUGCCAUCUGUUUUGUCACCAAAGCCCCAUACAAUACCCACCAUUGCGACCUGUACGCUGUCGUUGGUUGGCCCUUGCUUCAUACGCGUCGCCAAACCCACUGGCUACAGGUUAUCUACAAGUCUCUGCUAGGUAAAGCCCCGCCUUAUCUCAGCUCACUGGACACCAUAGCAGCACCCACUCGUAGCACGUGCUCCAGCAGGUAUAUCUCACUGGUCACCCCCAAAGCCAAUUCCUCCUUUGGUCAUCUUUCCUUCCAGUUCUCUGCUGCCAAUGACUGGAACGAACUGCAAAUAUCUCUGAAGCUGGAGACUCAUAUCUCCCUCACUAGCUUUAAGCACCAGCUGUCAGAGCAGCUCACAGAUCACUGCACCUGAACAUAGCCCAUCUGUAAACAGCCCAACCAUCUACCUACCUCAUCCCCAUACAGUAUUAAUUUAUUUAUCUUGCUCCUUUGCACCCCAGUAUCUCUACUUGCACAUUCAUCUUCUGCACAUCUACAAUUUCAGUGUUUAAUUGCUAUAUUGUAAUUACUUCGCCACCAUGGCCUAUUUAUUGCCUUAACUCCCUUAUCUUACCUCAUUUGCACUUACUGUAUAUAGACAGUGAGUUCUACUGUAUUAUUGACUAUGUUUAGUUUAUUCCAUGUGUAACUCUGUGUUGUUGUAUGUGUCAAAUUGCUAUGCUUUAUCUUGGCCAGGUCGCAGUUGCAAAUGAGAACUUGUUCUCAACUAGCCUACCUGGUUAAAUAAAGGUUAAAUAAAAAAUAAAAUAAAGUACAUCUUUA
This is a long non-coding RNA of Oncorhynchus nerka (sockeye salmon), 5301 nucleotides long. RefSeq lists it as uncharacterized. Lineage: Eukaryota; Metazoa; Chordata; Actinopteri; Salmoniformes; Salmonidae. The record is from RefSeq and is a predicted model, not a curated record. The transcript has 3 exons.